GACGAACGCUGGCGGCGUGCUUAACACAUGCAAGUCGAACGGAGCGCCCCGGAACGAGGUUUCGGCCAAGGGAAGGGGAGGCUUAGUGGCGGACUGGUGAGUAACGCGUGAGGAACCUGCCUUCCAGAGGGGGACAACAGUUGGAAACGACUGCUAAUACCGCAUGACAUAUCGGAGGGGCAUCCCUUGGAUAUCAAAGAUUCAUCGCUGGAAGAUGGCCUCGCGUCUGAUUAGCUAGUUGGUGAGGUAACGGCCCACCAAGGCGACGAUCAGUAGCCGGACUGAGAGGUCGGCCGGCCACAUUGGGACUGAGAUACGGCCCAGACUCCUACGGGAGGCAGCAGUGGGGAAUAUUGGGCAAUGGGCGCAAGCCUGACCCAGCAACGCCGCGUGAAGGAAGAAGGCUUUCGGGUUGUAAACUUCUUUUGUCAGGGAACAGUAGAAGAGGGUACCUGACGAAUAAGCCACGGCUAACUACGUGCCAGCAGCCGCGGUAAUACGUAGGUGGCGAGCGUUGUCCGGAUUUACUGGGUGUAAAGGGCGUGUAGCCGGGCUGGUAAGUCAGAUGUGAAAUCCGUGGGCUCAACCCACGAACUGCAUUUGAAACUGCUGGUCUUGAGUAUCGGAGAGGUAACCGGAAUUCCUAGUGUAGCGGUGAAAUGCGUAGAUAUUAGGAAGAACACCAGUGGCGAAGGCGGGUUACUGGACGACAACUGACGGUGAGGCGCGAAAGCGUGGGGAGCAAACAGGAUUAGAUACCCUGGUAGUCCACGCCGUAAACGAUGGAUACUAGGUGUGCGGGGACUGACCCCCUGCGUGCCGCAGUCAACACAAUAAGUAUCCCACCUGGGGAGUACGAUCGCAAGGUUGAAACUCAAAGGAAUUGACGGGGGCCCGCACAAGCGGUGGAUUAUGUGGUUUAAUUCGAAGCAACGCGAAGAACCUUACCAGGGCUUGACAUCCUACUGACGAAGUAGAGAUACAUCAGGUGCCCUUCGGGGAAAGUAGAGACAGGUGGUGCAUGGUUGUCGUCAGCUCGUGUCGUGAGAUGUUGGGUUAAGUCCCGCAACGAGCGCAACCCCUAUUGUUAGUUGCUACGCAAGAGCACUCUAGCGAGACUGCCGUUGACAAAACGGAGGAAGGUGGGGACGACGUCAAAUCAUCAUGCCCCUUAUGUCCUGGGCCACACACGUAAUACAAUGGCGGUCAACAGAGGGAUGCGAAGCCGCGAGGCAGAGCGAACCCCCAAAAGCCGUCCCAGUUCGGAUCGCAGGCUGCAACCCGCCUGCGUGAAGUCGGAAUCGCUAGUAAUCGUGGAUCAGAAUGCCACGGUGAAUACGUUCCCGGGCCUUGUACACACCGCCCGUCACACCAUGGGAGUGGGUUGCAAAAGAAGUAGGUAGCUUAACCUUCGGGAGGGCGCUUACCACUUUGUGAUUCAUGACUGGGGUGA
This 1453-nucleotide ribosomal RNA is filed under the name uncultured bacterium. Its description in RNAcentral is "bacterial SSU rRNA". It matches the Rfam family "Bacterial small subunit ribosomal RNA". The record is from RNAcentral.